CCUUCGAUAGCUCAGUUGGUAGAGCGGUGGACUGUAGAGGUUAUAAUCACGGUAGAAAUCCAUAGGUCGCUGGUUCGAAUCCGGCUCGAAGGA
RNAcentral lists this transfer RNA (93 nucleotides) under Dufourea novaeangliae. It matches the Rfam family "tRNA". Rfam says of the family: Transfer RNA (tRNA) molecules are approximately 80 nucleotides in length. Their secondary structure includes four short double-helical elements and three loops (D, anti-codon, and T loops). The record is from Rfam by way of RNAcentral. Lineage: Eukaryota; Metazoa; Arthropoda; Insecta; Hymenoptera; Halictidae.